CCUACGGGAGGCAGCAGCAAGGAAUUUUCCGCAAUCGACGCAAGUCGGACGGAGCAACGCCGCGUGGGGGAAGAAGGCCCUAGGGUUGUAAACCCCUUUUGCGAGGGAAGAAGAUCUGACGGUACCUCGCGAAUAAGUCACGGCUAACUACGUGC
RNAcentral lists this ribosomal RNA (155 nucleotides) under uncultured bacterium. RNAcentral describes it as "partial 16S ribosomal RNA". It matches the Rfam family "Bacterial small subunit ribosomal RNA", at positions 338 to 508 of the family's 1533-position model. The record is from RNAcentral.